AUUGAACGCUGGCGGCAUGCUUUACACAUGCAAGUCGAACGGUAACAGGCCUUCGGGUGCUGACGAGUGGCGAACGGGUGAGUAAUGCAUCGGAACGUGCCCAGAGGGGGGGGAUAACGCAGCGAAAGCUGUGCUAAUACCGCAUGUGAUCUGAGGAUGAAAGCGGGGGACCAGGCAGCAAUGUUUGGCCUCGCGCCUUUGGAGCGGCCGAUGUCAGAUUAGGUAGUUGGUGGGGUAAAGGCCUACCAAGCCGACGAUCUGUAGAUGGUCUGAGAGGACGACCAGCCACACUGGGACUGAGACACGGCCCAGACUCCUACGGGAGGCAGCAGUGGGGAAUUUUGGACAAUGGGCGCAAGCCUGAUCCAGCAAUGCCGCGUGCGGGAAGAAGGCCUUCGGGUUGUAAACCGCUUUUGUACGGAACGAAAAGGCUCUGGCUAAUACCUGGGGCUGAUGACGGUACCGUAAGAAUAAGCACCGGCUAACUACGUG
RNAcentral lists this ribosomal RNA (492 nucleotides) under uncultured bacterium. RNAcentral's name for it is "partial 16S ribosomal RNA". It matches the Rfam family "Bacterial small subunit ribosomal RNA", at positions 29 to 507 of the family's 1533-position model. The record is from RNAcentral.